This 808-nucleotide ribosomal RNA is filed under the name uncultured bacterium. RNAcentral describes it as "bacterial SSU rRNA". It matches the Rfam family "Bacterial small subunit ribosomal RNA", at positions 8 to 796 of the family's 1533-position model. The record is from RNAcentral.
AGAGUUUGAUCCUGGCUCAGGACGAACGCUGGCGGCAUGCCUAAUACAUGCAAGUCGAGCGGACUUGAUGAGAAGCUUGCUUCUCUGAUGGUUAGCGGCGGACGGGUGAGUAACACGUAGGCAACCUGCCCUCAAGCUUGGGACAACUACCGGAAACGGUAGCUAAUACCGAAUACUUGCUUUCUUCGCCUGAAGGGAGCUGGAAAGACGGAGCAAUCUGUCACUUGAGGAUGGGCCUGCGGCGCAUUAGCUAGUUGGUGAGGUAACGGCUCACCAAGGCGACGAUGCGUAGCCGACCUGAGAGGGUGAUCGGCCACACUGGGACUGAGACACGGCCCAGACUCCUACGGGAGGCAGCAGUAGGGAAUCUUCCGCAAUGGGCGAAAGCCUGACGGAGCAAUGCCGCGUGAGUGAUGAAGGUUUUCGGAUCGUAAAGCUCUGUUGCCAGGGAAGAACGUCCUUGAGAGUAACUGCUCAAGGAGUGACGGUACCUGAGAAGAAAGCCCCGGCUAACUACGUGCCAGCAGCCGCGGUAAUACGUAGGGGGCAAGCGUUGUCCGGAAUUAUUGGGCAUAAAGAGCUCGUAGGCGGUUUUUUAAGUCAGAUGUGAAAGGCUUGAGCUUAACUCAAGUUAGCAUUUGAAACUAAAUUUCUAGAGAUCAGGAGAGGAAAGCGGAACUCACGGUGUAGCGGUGAAAUGCGUAGAUAUCGUGAGGAACACCAGUUGCGAAGGCGGCUUUCUGGCCUGAUUCUGACGCUGAGGAGCGAAAGCGUGGGGAGCAAACGGGAUUAGAUACCCUGGUAGUCC